GAUGAACGCUGGCGGCGUGCCUAACACAUGCAAGCCGAACGAAGCUACAUUUUACGAUCCCUUCGGGGUGACGAAUUGUAGACUGAGUGGCGGACGGGUGAGUAACGCGUGGGCAACCUGCCCUAUACCGGGGGAUAGCAGCUGGAAACGGCUGAUAAUACCGCAUAAGCGCACAGAGAGACAUCUCUUGGUGUGAAAAACUCCGGUGGUAUAGGAUGGACCCGCGUCUGAUUAGCCAGUUGGUGAGGUAAAGGCCCACCAAAGCGAAGAUCAGUAGCCGACCUGAGAGGGUGACCGGCCACAUUGGGACUGAGACACGGCCCAAACUCCUACGGGAGGCAGCAGUGGGGAAUAUUGCACAAUGGGCGAAAGCCUGAUGCAGCGACGCCGCGUGAGUGAUGAAGUAUUUCGGUAUGUAAAGCUCUAUCAGCAGGGAAGAAAAUGACGGUACCUGACUAAGAAGCUCCGGCUAAAUACGUGCCAGCCGCCGCCGUAA
This 496-nucleotide ribosomal RNA is filed under the name uncultured bacterium. Its description in RNAcentral is "partial 16S ribosomal RNA". It matches the Rfam family "Bacterial small subunit ribosomal RNA", at positions 28 to 523 of the family's 1533-position model. The record is from RNAcentral.